Molecule: ribosomal RNA, 506 nt
Filed under: uncultured Glomeromycotina
Lineage: Eukaryota; Fungi; Glomeromycota
Description: SSU rRNA
Rfam family: Eukaryotic small subunit ribosomal RNA
Source: RNAcentral
CCAAUAGCGUAUAUUAAAGUUGUUGCAGUUAAAAAGCUCGUAGUUGAAUUUCGGGAUUGACACAUCGGUCGUGCCUUAAGGGGUAUGAACUGGUGUAGUCAAUUUCUCACCUUCUGGAGAACCGCGAUGCCCUUAAUUGGGUGUCGCGGGGAACCAGGACCUUUACUUUGAAAAAAUUAGAGUGUUUAAAGCAGGCAUUUUGCUUGAAUACAUUAGCAUGGAAUAAUAAAAUAGGACGGCAUGAUUCUAUUUUGUUGGUUUCUAGGAUCACCGUAAUGAUUAAUAGGGAUAGUUGGGGGCAUUAGUAUUCAAUUGUCAGAGGUGAAAUUCUUGGAUUUAUUGAAGACUAACUACUGCGAAAGCAUUUGCCAAGGAUGUUUUCAUUAAUCAGGAACGAAAGUUAGGGGAUCGAAGACGAUCAGAUACCGUCGUAGUCUUAACCAUAAACUAUGCCGACUAGGAAUCAGACGAUGUUAAUUUUUUAAUGACUCGUUUGGCACCUUACG